UACGGUAUUUUACGUCCUUGCAAAGUCUAC
This 30-nucleotide non-coding RNA is filed under the name Mus musculus (house mouse). The record is from RNAcentral. Lineage: Eukaryota; Metazoa; Chordata; Mammalia; Rodentia; Muridae.